CCAGACUGCCACUCUCAGCCCCCGCAGGGCCCCUUUUGGCCACUUUGACCAGACCGUGGGAGUCCACAGUCGGGGCGCAGCACGGUGGCGUCAGCAGCCUUCCGAUCAAUGAGGCCAUGAGAGGACCGACGUGCCAGACGUGUCAGACCGCCGCCUUUGUUUUAAAAAACUGUUUGGCAAUGACACAGCACAAUCUUUGACCACAUCCACCCUUGGCAGCUCCCGCACCGACCCUUGCCAAGGCUCCCAGUAUGUCUGUUGAGUUAGAAAAGAAAAGAGCUGGGAGAAAAGGGCUCGUGGAGACUGGAGUAGGGCUCCCAAGGAGCGAGUGCAGAGGUGAUUGCCCCCUCGUGCAGCAAUCACCCCAGGCACCUUUCGCAUACUGGUGUCUAGGUGACUGUCCCACACUUGCAGUGGGGGAAGCAUCUCCUUGGCUCGCCUCCAUCUUUUCAAAUGACAAGUUGAAGAAAGCUCGGAGGCCUCGCAGAAAAGCACAGCUCUUCCAAGGUAUUAGGCCACAUGCAAGUGACCCCAAAGCUAUUGAUUUUUGUAUGCUAGACUUUUAGUCUGCCACUUGCGCAAAUUCUGGUCUUAGUCCUGGUAGUUUUUCAGUAGGUUUUUCUAGUUAGACAAUCAUCUGCAAAUAAUGAUCAAUUUGAGUCCACCUUCCCGCCCCCACCCCCACCACUUACUCUCCCAAGUGAUACAAGAAAUCAUUGGGUUGGUGAUGCUGUUUAGCUUUAGUGGAAGCCCCUAGCCCCCUGGGGAAGCGGGUUUCCUUAGGCAGCAGUGUUCCACACGAUUGUGCUUUCUUGCAGGGUACUUUCAGGGGAGGCGGCAGCUGAUGCCCACCUCCCAGAGUGAGGCCCCCUCCUCGCAGACAGCAGCCAUGCCUUAAGAAGCAGUGCUACCUUAUGUGCCUGCCCAGGCCAAUUCUGCCUCAAUCUCCAGCCCUGGAUACAUUCCCAAGAGUGGGCCCCGGAGAGCUUGAUUCCCUCUGUGAAGGAAUCUUUGCACCUGCUAGGAGGGAAAUUACUUUCCUGGAGUAGCAAGAGAGCUGGAGUUGCCCUUUUGCUGUAAGGGUCGCGCUCACUAUCAUUGGCAGUUGGCAGCUGGCAGCAUACCCUCUCCUCUCCUUCCCCACGUGAGGAAAAAGAGAACUUCCCCCUUUCAUUUCUGGUUCCCUCUCACCUCCGACUGAAAGUCCUUAGUCAGGCUCUCCGUGCCUCACCUCCUCCAUGGGCCAGAUGGGGCCAUCAGUACUCUCCUCCUGGUACCUCAAGGUCUCCCGGAUCCAAAGCACCGCCUCAGUAUUAUUUGUUGGUCUUCUUUGUGCCUUUCUUGACCUGGAGUUGGGAGGCAGGAGGGCUGCUGUUGGCCUAGUUUGUUUCUGGGAAUAUGGAUUUCUGGCAUAGGAAGGGGGCAGUGCGUCAUGGACAGAUGGUCAUUUAGCCUCUGAGGGAAGAUACACGUGAGACCAGGCUACUCUCUGCUCCAAAAAGUCCUGCUCGGUUGUCUUCGGGCAACUUUCAUCCUCAGAGUGCUUCCCUUCCAUGAAGCCAAAACCAGCCCCAGCCAUGUCCACCCCAGGUCUCUACCUUCAUCAAGGAAGAUAGGAAGUGAAACAUUACUUUUUACAUUAGGUCAGGAUCAAGAAAUAAAAGUGACCAAAAAAAAAAAAAAGAGGUAAGAAUCAGGGUAGAGAAGCACUAUGUUAGACCUAUUUCAUGUAUAUUCUGCUGGACAGAAUUGUCUCUAAAAUGUCUGUUACACACACACACACACACACACACACAAAUUCUGUCAACAUUCCCCCCCACCCCCCACCCCAAAUCAAAUGUCAACAUGUACAGGAGUCUUGUGUUGAAGGAAGCAGGGCUUAGAUGUUAUACUUUAGAUACUGUGAACCCAGAAAGGAGCUGUGACAGGCUUAUUUCUUUUUCUUUCUUAUCUUUUUUUUUUUUUUGCUUUUUAGGGCUGCACCCGCAGCAUAUGGAAGUUCCCAGGCUGAGAGUCAAAUCAGAGCUACAGCUCCCAGCCUACACCACAGCCACAGCCAUCUGAGCCAAGUCUGCAACCUACACCACAGCUCACGGCAACACUGGAUCCUUAACCCACUGAGUGUGGCCAGGGAUUGAACCCAUGUCCUCAUGGAUACUAGUCGGAUUCAUUUCCCCUGAGCCACGAUGGGAACUCCCAAGGCUUAUUUCUUGAAUGGAUGAAUUUUUCCUCAUGUAUUCAUGUUGGCAAUCAGAUUGUCAGUGAGCUCUAGGAAGAAACAUUAUCUAUGAGUCAAGGGCAUUUAACUAAACUGUUAACACCAUGCUGGUUCUUGACUUGUGGUUCCUGAUUUGAGAGAGGAGGCCCUUGAGACCUUAAUAGAAAAUUCCAUCUAAAAACUACUUCCUUCCAAAGGAUGUGCAUUCAUUUGAGAAGGACACAAUCUGUUUUUGUUUCUAUUGUUGGAAACUCUGUGAGGAUGAAUCAGAAUCAAAGUGGUGCUCUCAGUUCUAAGACUUUGGAACAGCAGGUGCAAUCACUGUAAACAAAAAGGAUCAUGUGACUGUACUAUGCCUAGAGUGUAAUGUACCAUUUUGACCUAAUGCAGAAAGGAAGGUUCUGGAAAAGCACAUUGCACAUCAUCAUGUCAAAUGUGAUGUGAAGGCCCAGGUCUGAAUGUCACAGGGUAAGGGCCUGCACUUAGAGAAAAGCACAGGGUAAAGGAAAACACUUUGGGAUUCUUUUUUUAAAAAAAUGUAUAUAGCUAAGUAGACGUAAAGCAAAAACAGAAGCCAACCUGGAAACAGUCAAGAAUGGUUCUUCCAGGUUUCAACCAUCCAUUGGCGUGUAGAGCCACCUCUGUGUUCUCGGAGAAGGAGUCAUGUUGCCCUCUGAGGAGGAGCAAGUUCCAGGAUACUUUUUUUUGUGCCAUUUAUUUAUAGUCUUCUUUUUGAAGUGAUGCCAGAGAGGAGGAGUGUUUCUUAUUCUGAAACGCAGCGAGGGAACAUUAGAGGGUGGGGAGUGGUGGGGGUGACCGAUGGGAAAGUCUUCUGGGGGGAACGUUCUCACAAGGGCCAGACUUUUGUCUCCGAGCACCAAGCUGGAAGUUCUUACCGUCCAGGGACAUGCAGCCUUGAGAUGGUCCCAGACCUUCCCAUUUGUCCUCUUAGAACAUCUCCUCGCUCAAAACAGAGGGAACGUGAAGUGGGAUGAGGAGGGAUGGGCAGGGUUGGGAAAUGCUUUCGUUUGGUUCAUUACCCAGGAAACAAGCAGGACAAAACUAUUUCAGAUGGAAGCAUCGGUGAAGCUAGCCCAGGGUCCUUCUCCAGCAAUGCCUAUUGCCUACACCGCAUCGGGACAGGAAGAUGGAAGUUUUCUUCCCGAAAACUGUAACUGUGAGUCUUCAAUGGGAGCAGUAAGCCCGAGUUUUCAAAGGCGAAGAGUCUGUGAGGCAGCACAUGAGAAUGCAUUUUGUGCGAAAGCCCUUUACUUCUCAUCCCUCCUCCUUUAAAAAGUUCGUUGAAACACAGGAACGAUGGAUUCCACAGAAAGGGCUCUAUCUUAUUUACUCUUGAGUCCCCUGCAGCCCAUGGCUUAGCACCUCAUACAUGGGAAGCACAUUACUACUGGAUGGAGAGAGGGAUAGACAAUGGAUGGUUGGUGGACAAAGAAUGGUACCCAGAGGAAAUCUGAAUGGACCAAAUGGGAGGCCUCCCUUCAUUUGUCAAAUUAGUACUUGCUGUGUGCCUGGCAUUGCUCUUGGUGCUGGGGAGCCAAAGUCCCCCUGACCAUUGACCCUGGAGAUCAUUUAUGCUGUAAUGGCAUAAGCAGACACAUUUAUUUCCCCUUUGGGCUUAAUUACCUUCCUACCCUGGUAUCCAACCACAGGCAGACCUGAUGGUCCUUCAAGUGCUCGUUUCAAGUCUUUUCAGUUUCCUGGGGAUAUGCCAUCCACCAGCCAACCGUCAUCAAUCCACUGUUGUUGUUUUUUUCCCCUCAGAGGAUCCUUGAUUAAUCAGGUCAAAUUCAUAAGGUCAUGUACUUAAUCAGCUUUAAAUUACAGUGAAGAGAGAGACAUUAAUUACCUUCAAGGGCGUUUCCUGUGUUGCCUUUAAUAGAGGCAGCAUAAAUAAUGAUCAUCAACCUAGCGAACCAAGCCUCAGGCCAUGCAGAGUCCCAGAUCACCAAAACAGGGUACCAGCUCCAUCGUUCAGCUGUUCUUGCUGAGACAAGAAACUCAACACUUCAGAAGCAUUUCCAGUUUUAAAGUCCCAAGAAAAAGAGAUUUCCGAUUGGGAAUAAAUCGAUAUGAUCGUUAAGUGAACCAGAAUACCCCCCUCUCUAAGAUUUCCAGGUGAUCAAGGAUACCUCCAAUUUCUGCAUAUUCUUGCCUUUUCUCCACUGUUGGACUGCAGCUCCACCCUACACAUCCCAAGGAAACAUUUGGCCGAGGAUCAUAAGGAAAUCCGGCAUUUCUCGACACAGCCCGGAAAGGGGCUUUCCGAGAUCCAGCAGACAGCUCUCCAUUCUAGAAAUGUUGUUUAGGCUUCCUAUGUGACACGUUGGCUUUGGGUAUCUGAUGCAGCACCUGCGCUAAUAUCCCUGAUCACUUGCUUUGGUUAUGUGAUUCUUUACACAAGAGCCCUUCAUCUGCUCGCGUACGAGCUCUGUUCCAUGGAGUUCUGGUGCUCUUGACAUGCAUCUCCUCCCAGCCCCACGCACCCCCACCUGCUCCCAGCCCCUCGUACUCUCCCUGGUUCUGCUUUGGCUUCACACAAAAGUCGGGGCCGGGACAGAGGGUAAAUAGCAGGUGUUAGGGUAUAGGAGUGGAGGGCGGUUUCUUUUGGGGGAACACUGGUCCUCAGUGCAGUGUUGCUACUUCCUGAUCCAUCAAAAACCAGAGUGAUGUUUAAAUGAGCUACCAAUUUGAAAUUUUCAUGCCUGUCUUCCUCAUCGCUGGUAUAGUAUUGAUGGCAUGUUUUUGGGUCAGACACUUGUACGAUUCACAGAACUGUCAGAAAGAUGACCCAUCUCUGCUCCUGUGUUUGAGUGCACAUCCGCGUGCACAUGGCACUCUCCUACCCACCCCAGCAUCAGCAUUCCUGCAGAGUGAGGGGACCUGUAGCCAGCUCAUUCUUUCGGAGAAGCAUAAGCUCUGGCGAAAACAAGCUGCCCCUUGGUGGGGAUCCAGUGAUUCCGCCUACCUCCAGCUCCAAGGCUGCUUCGCGCUUCAAUCUCUGGCUUGUAAGCAUGGUGUCCAUAUUUCCUAAUGCCAUCAAUGAGCCACGUGGGUGGCAAAGGGUUUUCAAGCUGCCAUUACACUUCUUCCUCCUGCUUAGUAAGAGAGGAAGACUGGGAAAUGGAAUUUGGAUGCCAAAAUGUUGACAUCUGGGACAUAUCAGUGUAACAGAAGGACGGAUGUCUACAAAGUUCUGGACAUCUGGUCCAUGCGGCCACCGUACCUUCAAGGCAGAGAGUUUUGGCAAAGGAACAAGCUUUGUCGACUUGUUCAAACCACUACCUACCAUUCCACAGACCCCUCCUGUCAUCUGUACAAUGGGGACAGUAAAUCCUACUCAGUAGGGAAUUAUUAAAUUAGCUAAUAAUAUGCUGCUCAGAAAGCAGCAUCGUCCCUGGCAAAUAGCACUCCAUUUGUGGACACUAUUAUUCUGAACUUGGGAGGGUGGUAAAGGAAGGAAUAGAGUAGGCCAAACUUCAGCCUGGUGGUGCUGGUGGACCCUGGGUUCAGAUGGCAGCCCUUGGCAGUUGUAUGUUUCCCUUGCUGUGUGGCAAUCCCUAACCAUUCCAAAGGAAGGGGCUCUGGAAUAAUGGGUCCCUAGUAAUGUGUCAUAGUCUGGGGUUGGGGGGGGAUUAACAAGUUUACCAAAUGUUUGGCAAUAAAACUGACUUAUG
This 5913-nucleotide long non-coding RNA is filed under the name Sus scrofa (pig). RNAcentral's name for it is "lncRNA (ENSSSCG00060075504.1)". Lineage: Eukaryota; Metazoa; Chordata; Mammalia; Artiodactyla; Suidae. The record is from RNAcentral.